This 502-nucleotide ribosomal RNA is filed under the name Anisomorpha buprestoides. RNAcentral's name for it is "partial 16S ribosomal RNA". It matches the Rfam family "Bacterial large subunit ribosomal RNA", at positions 1844 to 2608 of the family's 2925-position model. Lineage: Eukaryota; Metazoa; Arthropoda; Insecta; Phasmatodea; Pseudophasmatidae. The record is from RNAcentral.
UAUUUGAGAUCUGACCUGCCCAAUGAUUUUUAUUUAAUGGCCGCGGUAUUUUGACCGUGCAAAGGUAGCAUAAUCAUUAGUUUAUUAAUUGUGGACUUGUAUGAAUGGUUGGACGAAAUAUUGACUGUCUCAUAUUUAUUUAUUGAAUUUAAUUUUUUAGUUAAAAAGCUUAAAUUUUAUUGUAAGACGAGAAGACCCUAUAGAUCUUUAUUUUUAUAAAUUAUUUAUUUUUUAGUUUCUUUUUUUAAAAGUUUUAUUAAAAGUUUUGUUGGGGUGACAUGGAGAUAAAAAUAACUCUUUAUUUUAUAUACAAUUAUUUUUGAUUUGUUGACCUUUUAUUAUUGUUUAAAGUUAUAGAUACCUUAGGGAUAACAGCGUAAUUUUUUCUGAGAGUUCUUAUCGACGAUAAAGAUUGCGACCUCGAUGUUGGAUUAAGAAUAUUUUAAGGUGUAGGUGCUUUACUUUUAGGUCUGUUCGACCUUUAAAUUCUUACGUGAUCUGA